RNAcentral lists this unclassified non-coding RNA (236 nucleotides) under Tetracladium marchalianum. RNAcentral's name for it is "partial internal transcribed spacer region". The stretch from base 1 to 46 matches the Rfam family "Eukaryotic small subunit ribosomal RNA", at positions 1786 to 1831 of the family's 1831-position model. RNAcentral also lists the same sequence under 3 other names. Lineage: Eukaryota; Fungi; Ascomycota; Leotiomycetes; Helotiales. The record is from RNAcentral.
AAGUCGUAACAAGGUUUCCGUAGGUGAACCUGCGGAAGGAUCAUUACCGAGUUCAUGCCCUUACGGGUAGAUCUCCCACCCUUUGUAUACUAUACCUUUGUUGCUUUGGCGGGCCGCCUAGCUACUGGCUUCGGCUGGUAUGUGCCCGCCAGAGGACCCAAAACCCUGAAUUAUUAGUGUCGUCUGAGUAAAAUAUUUAAUAUUUAAAACUUUCAACAACGGAUCUCUUGGCUCUG